CAUAAAGAUAUACUGCUUUAUGAGACAUGGACGAGUUUGCCAGAAUAGUUACCAACUAACACCUUGAAUUUACAACAGCCCUGAUGGGUCAAGUAUCGUUGCUGGAAACAUUAGGAAGAAAUCGUGCCAGGGCCUCUCUCCCUCACUCGGCUUGUUGAUUUCACUUCAGAGGAGAAAAGAGUUAUAACGUUCGCGCCUUUGUCCUUCAUGCAAAAUAAACACAAAUUUAUUGAUUUAUGGCCAAUAAAAGCACAGGGAACAUCAUUAGAAUCAUGUUGAGAAAAAGUUUGAUUCCAAGUCAUUCGACAUGUAGUUCAAAGUUCAAGGGCAUAAAAAGGACACCAUGCUGUUUGGUUUACCGUCAUUAAUGCUAAAAUUAACAAAGAAAAAGUUCUCUUCUUUUACCGCUUACUGAUGGUGAUCCAACUCAUUGCACCUUUCUCGUUUUCAUGAAUAUUCAUGAAAAAUAGUAUUCAUCAUUUUUAAUCCUACAGCAAGAAAGGAAAAAAACUUAAAAUGUUUGGAGGUACAUGUAAAAUUAAAACGAAGUCAACGUCAUGAGAACAGGAAGUUGACGAAAGAUGCAUAUACGCAUAUGUAUUAUCGUGUUUGGUGAAAUUCCCUUCACGAAAGUUUGAAGGAGCCAGUCAAAUUGCAGUAUGAAUUACUAGUCAAUAAGCGAAUAA
Magallana angulata is the source of this 686-nucleotide long non-coding RNA. RefSeq lists it as uncharacterized. The record is from RefSeq and is a predicted model, not a curated record. NCBI's taxonomy places the organism in Eukaryota, Metazoa, Mollusca, Bivalvia, Ostreida, Ostreidae. The transcript is spliced from 2 exons.